This is a non-coding RNA of Chiloscyllium plagiosum (whitespotted bambooshark), 320 nucleotides long. NCBI's taxonomy places the organism in Eukaryota, Metazoa, Chordata, Chondrichthyes, Orectolobiformes, Hemiscylliidae. The record is from RefSeq and is a predicted model, not a curated record.
GACUCCAAAACAGAUAGCAAUUUGGUGUACUCAGUUUUCAUCAUCUCAAAACCAAGAAAGGCUGAAGGAUGGUGAGGCAAUUUACUGGGAAUACUCCAAUUACAGCAGAACUGUACACACAAUAAUCAACAUCAGCAAACAUCAAGAGGACAAUUAUCACUGUGUUGUUUCUAACUAGCAUGCAGAGUCUCUCCUGGACAGCAAAUUCCCCACCGUUUCAGUGAUCAUUCCUGUUGCUGGGGUUUUCCUCACUCCCAGAGCCACUAAAAUGGAGGUUCUGAUUGGGAGUUGUCUCGUUCCAGAAUGUGUAUUGAGCCGAG